UAAAAAUAGGCAAAUUAUUUAUGACAUUUAAACGAACAAUUAAUAUCCGCAGUUUAUGGGGAAUUGGAAAAUUCAAAAGGCAUUUCCUUUAAUUCGCUACAUUUUUAACGAAAUGCAUGAAAAACGUUCAUUGUAUUAUAUAAAAUGUAGUAUAAGCCUUUGCACUGUUUUUAACCCCCCGAACCAGCAACGAAGAAGUGUCAAAAUAUAAGUAUGUACAUCUGUGAACAAUAUUCAUUCGUUAAAUACACAUAUAUAUGUAUGUAUGCAUAUUCGUCCUGUCAGAAGUCCUAUUAGACAGAAAAAGAUCAGAUCAUAGAAAGAGAUUUUCUAAUGGACAAUUGCUCUACAAGCCAACAAGCCUAUUCUUCGAACUGGGUCUGAACGAAAUUGAAAACGAUUAUGGAUUUACGCCUAUAGGAUAUACUAUAUACAUACAUACAUACAUAUGUAUGUAUUUACAUAUAAACCGAAGUGCAUCGUCGAGCUCAUACAAAUGCAUCGAUAUGCGACCAAUGAUCCAACAAAUCGAACCAAAUUUUCACAAUAGUUUCCAGUACAUGUUGUAUCUCUUUCCCGCAUUUGCCUAAAAGCAAAUCUAUGGCGGCCACAAUCAUGUGAAAUUAGGUAUUUCACAACAUCAAAUUUCGGCAAUGGUGAAAUUUUCUUGUAUAAAUCCAAAUACAUGCCAGCAAUGGAUCCAGUACUACUAAAACGGUUCAUAGUUCAUUUUUGGAGAAAAGUAUUAAAGAAAAAAAGUUUCACCAUGAGGAUGACACGGAUUGAGCCCAAUCUUGUUGCUUUGGCCGAGAAAUAUAAUGUGAAUAAAAUGAUCUGCCGCAAAUGUUACGCCCGUCUGCCGCCGCGGGCCACCAAUUGUCGGAAGAAGGACUGUCAUUCCAGCGAUUUGCGUCCCAAAAAGAUAUUGAAGGAUUACAAAUAAAUGUGUACAAAUACUGCGACCAAACUACCUCUACAUAUUUAUGGAAUGAUACAUGUAUAAAAUGUGAUUAUAAAUUAUACUGCCGUCGAUACCUCUGGAGGCAGUCUCCAAUAAUAUUUGUAAUCAAACAAUCAUAUUAUUAUGUAUUAUUAAACAUUUAAUAUACUGCGUACUUGUUGUAUAAGUAUUUUUUUUUUACUUUUUUAAUAAAAUCAUUUACAAUAAA
Molecule: RNA transcript, 1169 nt
Organism: Bactrocera dorsalis (oriental fruit fly)
Lineage: Eukaryota; Metazoa; Arthropoda; Insecta; Diptera; Tephritidae
Exons: 2
Source: RefSeq, a predicted model, not a curated record